RNAcentral lists this ribosomal RNA (496 nucleotides) under uncultured bacterium. RNAcentral describes it as "partial 16S ribosomal RNA". It matches the Rfam family "Bacterial small subunit ribosomal RNA", at positions 28 to 507 of the family's 1533-position model. The record is from RNAcentral.
GAUGAACGCUGGCGGCGUGCCUAAUACAUGCAAGUCGAGCGAACAGACGAGGAGCUUGCUCCUCUGACGUUAGCGGCGGACGGGUGAGUAACACGUGGAUAACCUACCUAUAAGACUGGGAUAACUUCGGGAAACCGGAGCUAAUACCGGAUAAUAUAUUGAACCGCAUGGUUCAAUAGUGAAAGACGGUUUGCUGUCACUUAUAGAUGGAUCCGCGCCGCAUUAGCUAGUUGGUAAGGUAACGGCUUACCAAGGCGACGAUGCGUAGCCGACCUGAGAGGGUGAUCGGCCACACUGGAACUGAGACACGGUCCAGACUCCUACGGGAGGCAGCAGUAGGGAAUCUUCCGCAAUGGGCGAAAGCCUGACGGAGCAACGCCGCGUGAGUGAUGAAGGUCUUCGGAUCGUAAAACUCUGUUAUUAGGGAAGAACAAAUGUGUAAGUAACUAUGCACGUCUUGACGGUACCUAAUCAGAAAGCCACGGCUAACUACGUG